RNAcentral lists this ribosomal RNA (253 nucleotides) under uncultured bacterium. Its description in RNAcentral is "partial 16S ribosomal RNA". It matches the Rfam family "Bacterial small subunit ribosomal RNA", at positions 524 to 776 of the family's 1533-position model. The record is from RNAcentral.
UACAGAGGGGGCAAGCGUUGUUCGGAAUUACUGGGCGUAAAGGGCUCGUAGGCGGCCAACUAAGUCAGACGUGAAAUCCCCAGGCUCAACCUGGGAACUGCGUCUGAUACUGGAUGGCUUGAAUCCGGGAGAGGGAUGCAGAAUUCCAGGUGUAGCGGUGAAAUGCGUAGAUAUCUGGAGGAACACCGGUGGCGAAGGCGGCAUCCUGGACCAAUAUUGACGCUGAGGAGCGAAAGCCAGGGGAGCAAACGGG